Molecule: ribosomal RNA, 822 nt
Filed under: uncultured Achromobacter sp.
Lineage: Bacteria; Pseudomonadati; Pseudomonadota; Betaproteobacteria; Burkholderiales; Alcaligenaceae
Description: bacterial SSU rRNA
Rfam family: Bacterial small subunit ribosomal RNA
Source: RNAcentral
UCGAACGGCAGCACGGACUUCGGUCUGGUGGCGAGUGGCGAACGGGUGAGUAAUGUAUCGGAACGUGCCUAGUAGCGGGGGAUAACUACGCGAAAGCGUAGCUAAUACCGCAUACGCCCUACGGGGGAAAGCAGGGGAUCGCAAGACCUUGCACUAUUAGAGCGGCCGAUAUCGGAUUAGCUAGUUGGUGGGGUAACGGCUCACCAAGGCGACGAUCCGUAGCUGGUUUGAGAGGACGACCAGCCACACUGGGACUGAGACACGGCCCAGACUCCUACGGGAGGCAGCAGUGGGGAAUUUUGGACAAUGGGGGAAACCCUGAUCCAGCCAUCCCGCGUGUGCGAUGAAGGCCUUCGGGUUGUAAAGCACUUUUGGCAGGAAAGAAACGUCAUGGGCUAAUAUCCCGUGAAACUGACGGUACCUGCAGAAUAAGCACCGGCUAACUUCGUGCCAGCAGCCGCGGUAAUACGUAGGGUGCAAGCGUUAAUCGGAAUUACUGGGCGUAAAGCGUGCGCAGGCGGUUCGGAAAGAAAGAUGUGAAAUCCCAGAGCUUAACUUUGGAACUGCAUUUUUAACUACCGGGCUAGAGUGUGUCAGAGGGAGGUGGAAUUCCGCGUGUAGCAGUGAAAUGCGUAGAUAUGCGGAGGAACACCGAUGGCGAAGGCAGCCUCCUGGGAUAACACUGACGCUCAUGCACGAAAGCGUGGGGAGCAAACAGGAUUAGAUACCCUGUAGUCCACGCCCUAACGAUGUCAACUAGCUGUUGGGGUCUUCGGACCUUGUAGCGCAGCUAACGCGUGAAGUUGACCGCCUGGGGGAGUA